Molecule: ribosomal RNA, 450 nt
Filed under: uncultured bacterium
Lineage: Bacteria
Description: bacterial SSU rRNA
Rfam family: Bacterial small subunit ribosomal RNA
Source: RNAcentral
AACGAACGCUGGCGGCAUGCCUAACACAUGCAAGUCGAACGAAGCCUUCGGGCUUAGUGGCGCACGGGUGCGUAACGCGUGGGAAUCUGCCCUUGGGUUCGGAAUAACAGUUAGAAAUGACUGCUAAUACCGAAUGAUGUCUUCGGACCAAAGAUUUAUCGCCCAAGGAUGAGCCCGCGUCGGAUUAGCUAGUUGGUGAGGUAAAGGCUCACCAAGGCGACGAUCCGUAGCUGGUCUGAGAGGAUGAUCAGCCACACUGGGACUGAGACACGGCCCAGACUCCUACGGGAGGCAGCAGUGGGGAAGUAUUGGACAAUGGGCGAAAGCCUGAUCCAGCAAUGCCGCGUGAGUGAUGAAGGCCUUAGGGUUGUAAAGCUCUUUUACCCGGGAUGAUAAUGACAGUACCGGGAGAAUAAGCCCCGGCAACUCCGUGCCAGCAGCCGCGGUAAU